Molecule: non-coding RNA, 133 nt
Filed under: Lingulaulax polyedra
Lineage: Eukaryota; Dinophyceae; Gonyaulacales; Lingulodiniaceae
Source: RNAcentral
CUUGGCCGACCAGGGCACGGUCCAGGAGUAUGCAUUGUACUCGCUUGCUCACCUCAAGCGGCGAGGCGGCGCUGUCGGUGUCGCGGUGGGCGUUGCGCGCAGGUUGCUGUCGGACCCAAGCUGGCGGGUACGG